CGCGGGACCGUCCCGUCGCGGUGUGUCACCGACAGGGUGGUCCCAACCUGGCAGAUGGAGGGGGGCCGUCCUCUGCCCCUGCUUCCCGGCACUGAGCAGCUGGUAACUUUGCGGCCAAGGACGGCCGUCUUCCCCGAGGGCAUCUUUUGUCUCCCUUAUUGCCGCGGCCCGGGAAUGUGAUCGCGAACUCCAAGAUGCUGGGGCAGAUCCGCAUCCUGCCGACCCCCCCGGCCUCGGGGUGACUGCGCUGUCCGCAGGGUGCCAGCCGGGUAGCCUACACAGACAGCAGCAGUUCCAGUGUUUUAAGAUCUCCUUCUGAUCUCCUGUGUCUAUAUUCAGCCCUGAUGUAAUUGUGCGAAAUCCAUAAAGGCUGAAACGUUCACAAGCAUGCUGAGAAGGAGCAGAGGAGGACCUGCUCCUCACAGGGAGGUGGAAAGACCCCACGGUUGACAGCCACCAGCUGCUUCUGGCUGUCACUGCUCCCACCUGGCACCAUGGCUCACCUCACCCCGCAGCAACCUGCACCAGGGAUGGAGAUGACAGGGUCUGUAGGCUGCCGGCUUUUCUGAGGAAAAACAUUCAUUGCCAUGCCUUCCUGUGAUCUUGUGCAUGCACUGGAUGACUCGGGACUGCAUUCCUUUGCCACAGGUAACGGAGCACUGGAACACACAGAAGACAAGACAUUCACUGGAAAGGUAUUUUUGCCCGCAAAACAUGAGGUGAAAUGCUAGUCCAGCUAAAGUCAAUGGCUGUUACAUCAGUUAUCAACAAUCUGAGAUUUCUGCCUUCUAUUCGGUAACCUAGAUGAAAGUUAACUCCUAUAUGAAAUAACAGACCAAAAGGAAAUACCUCUGAAGGACUGUUUCCAGCAUGCCGUGGCUGUCAAGGUCCAAUUUGCAGAGCCAGUGACGAAACUGAAAUGCAGCAACCUGCACGAAGGGAGCAAGGGCCAUUCUCCUGUAUUUGUUUUCUAA
Molecule: long non-coding RNA, 974 nt
Organism: Cygnus atratus (black swan)
Lineage: Eukaryota; Metazoa; Chordata; Aves; Anseriformes; Anatidae
Exons: 3
Source: RefSeq, a predicted model, not a curated record